UACGUAGGGUGCAAGCGUUAAUCGGAAUUAUUGGGCGUAAAGCGCGCGCAGGCGGCUUCUUAAGUCUGAUGUGAAAGCCCACGGCUCAACCGUGGAGGGUCAUUGGAAACUGGGGAGCUUGAGUACAGAAGAGGAGAGUGGAAUUCCAUGUGUAGCGGUGAAAUGCGUAGAUAUAUGGAGGAACACCAGUGGCGAAGGCGGCUCUCUGGUCUGUAACUGCCACUGAGGCGCGACAGCGUGGGGAGCAAACAGG
This 253-nucleotide ribosomal RNA is filed under the name uncultured bacterium. RNAcentral's name for it is "partial 16S ribosomal RNA". It matches the Rfam family "Bacterial small subunit ribosomal RNA", at positions 524 to 776 of the family's 1533-position model. The record is from RNAcentral.